This is a non-coding RNA of Picea glauca (white spruce), 121 nucleotides long. The record is from Rfam. NCBI's taxonomy places the organism in Eukaryota, Viridiplantae, Streptophyta, Pinopsida, Pinales, Pinaceae.
ACAUGCCUACAACAUAGUGGUAAUGCGCCAGAUCCCAUUAGAUCUCCAUAGUUAAGUGAGCUCAAGCCAAAGUAGUAUUUGGAUGGGUGACCAACCGAGAAGUCCUAGUAUUUUACAUGCC